Aegilops tauschii subsp. strangulata is the source of this 810-nucleotide non-coding RNA. The record is from RefSeq and is a predicted model, not a curated record. Lineage: Eukaryota; Viridiplantae; Streptophyta; Magnoliopsida; Poales; Poaceae.
CCCCCCCGCGCGGUCGCCGACUCCCUCCGGCCGGCUCCGCCUCCGCCUUGUGCAGCAUCGACCUCCCCGAGUUCUCUUUCUCUGGUGGGGGAGCUGCUGGCCACAAUCUAGACGAGUUGGGGUUCUGCUGUUGCAUUUUGCUAGGGGCUGCUGCGUCUGUUUUGCUCUCUACUUGUGUGUCUGCGUGAUCCUUCUUUGUGAGCUUCUGUUGUACUAGCAUUGGUGGACAUUUAUCUUCAUAUGUGGGAAGAGGGGAUGAGUUUUAAUAAUGAAGCCUGUAAUGCAAAGAACGGGUGGGCACCUGCAAAGUGGUGAUGAGGAAGGAGUCUUGCAGGAGGAAGUUUCAGAGCUAGAUGGUCUAGCAUCCACGUUGAUUUAUGAAAAUAAUGCAAAUGUUGACCACCAUGUUGAUUUAUGACUGUUUAUGUUCUGAAAGAUGCAAAUGUUGACCACCACGUUGAUUUAUGAAAAUAGUAAGUAUCAAUCGAACUUUACUGUUUAUGUUCUGAAAGAUGCAAAUGUUGACCACCACAUUCUUUAGUUUCAUGCGAGCACUGAAAUAAUCGUGAUGAUCUUGUAGAAUUUCCGAGCAGUUAUGUCAUUGGUAUUCAUUUAUUAGUUUGUUUAGGUAUGUGUGUAUGCACACGUGUGUGGCAAGUAAUUUUAUAUGUCUCCCUCAAGCUACGUGCAAUCUAAUUUACUGAGCCUUGUUUUAAUAAAUAGUUUUUGUUCUAGCUAAUUUCAAAUUGUGUUCUACCUCCUGAACUUUAUCUUACAUCCUCUGACUUGGGAAGCUAACAUGGGUGCUCU